RNAcentral lists this long non-coding RNA (2800 nucleotides) under Triticum aestivum (bread wheat). RNAcentral's name for it is "long non-coding RNA (TAES_LNC008434)". The record is from RNAcentral. Lineage: Eukaryota; Viridiplantae; Streptophyta; Magnoliopsida; Poales; Poaceae.
CACGGCGAACAUUUCUUAUAAAUAGUGGUCAAUUACAUCAUAUAAUUUGGUUCUGUACAAAAGAAAGUUUCCUCUUUUGUGUAUAUAUAUCCUAAACACCAUCCCUUGCGAUGAACUCUUUGUCUUUGUCCACAAAUUUGGUUAUUCACCAUCCAGCAUGUCAGUUGCAGUCUCCUGAAGCAUAGGAACAACAUAAGUUAAAACAAUCUGGUCAAACAUACACUAAGAAUAUACUCAUGGGCAUUAUCGACAGAUUAAACCCAAGUUAUAGUGCAACAGGUUCUCUGUAAAGAAUUAACCUGAGAAGGUCGUUCUUCAAGCUAACUCCUAGGUCCUAGCAGAAGAUGAUGCAUCUAAGCGAAGCUGCCUGGAGAUUUCUUAUAUGUCCCUUGCUCUCCACUGCAACAGAUAGUUGGAAUGGCAUAUAAGAUAAGUGUGAGGUACUGACAGAAGAUCACUCUCAAAAGGCACAUUCAGUAUGUGUAUGUAAUGAUAUAGAGGCAUUAUUAAUUAAGUAACCUGAAUAAGUUGUUGCAUAUUUCUUCUAGGGACAACUGUUUACAUAGUUCUUCUAUAUCCAUUGCUCUCUGAUGUAACGAUUAAAAUGGCAAACAAAGUAAUUCUUAGGCAUUGAUAUUACUGACUUACUUGUUCGCAGGCAUAUACUGAAAUCGAGAGCAUAAAGGUAAUAUGUUAUAGCAUAUAUCUGUACUAUAAGUAACAAAAGAGUAGUCUCUUUAAUUUUUUCAACAUAACAGUCUACUUAUCUGAUGCACUUGGACUAACAGGAACAUAAGAAAACACCAAUGACUAAUCAUUUGGAAGGCAGCAUGGCUGAGUCCUACACAUGGCUAGUUAAGCCCUCUUGCCAAGCUGGAAAGUUUCUUACAAAUGCGGAAAUAUCCAUAAGAUUGCAUCUCUCAUGUUCUACUCAAAUAAUAUUUUGUAUAUAUCAGAGGUUUCAAAAGCUAGGUACCAGUUAACUCCUAUCGUGUUUGUUUGUAUAUAUAUAUAUCAUUGGUCUGUUUUAUUCUAGAGCCUUACUAACCAAAUAAAGAUCAAAAUUUUGAAGUAAAUUCUAUGCCUAGAAACCAAAUAAGAAACAACAACAACAACAACAACAACAAAGCCUUUAGUCCCAAGCAAGUUGGGGUAGGCUAGAGGUGAAACCCAUAAGAUCUCGCAACCAACUCAUGGCUCUGGCACAUGGAUAGCAAGCUUCCAUGCACCCCUGUCCAUAGCUAGCUCUUCGGUGAUACCCCAAUCCUUCAGGACUCUCUUAACGGACUCCUCCCAUGUCAAAUCCUAGAAACCAAAUAAGAACUACACUAAAAAUAUUUAUGAAUUACUACAACUAUACAGACCAUUUUAGACUAGUUUAGUAUGAGACUGUAAUCAAGAAUAAUGAAUGUAGGUGAUCUGAUAUCUUGUUCGAACAAUAAAAUAAAUAAGGACAGAUAGGCAAUGGAUUUGACCAACAAACCAAAUACUUCUAGAUCUGUACGAACUUCUAAAGAAUUGAUCAAAUCUUAAAAGUUGGAAAGGCUAAGCAGAUAGAGUAAUGAUAUGUUACAGGAAUAAGCAAGCAUGUCCGCUGACCAUACAUAGUAGUUGAUUAGCGAUGAUGCACUCAAUGUGAAGCGGUGUUUCCAUGCCUAUCAGGAUAAAGGUAUUCUUUUCUGCAAGGAUAAACAUGGAAGUGGAGUGAUCAAGCACACCGAAAAGAGUUUUCAUGAAUUAAAAUUAAGAAACAGAAUAUGGAAAUAAGUGUUUUGAAACAUAGAACUUUGGAGCUGCACAAAAGAUGCAACUGAAGAGGAGGACACCCCUAAAUGAAAACAUCGAGUUAAAAAAUUAAGCUAGCAAACCAGUCUGGCCUAUUAUAUAUCCCACAUGGACAGUAGCACCUACAUAUUGAAGCAACAAAAUUGACCAAAAAAAUCCCCAUAUAUGAACAUCACAAUCAGUGGGCAUUAACUAAACAUAAAUUAAGCAUAGAUGUUGUCGAGUAGAAGCUAAUAUUAUAGGAUAGGUGACCUAAAGUGAAACACAUGACAUAACACAAAGUUAAAGUAUGCUUAGCGGAGGAAUUUAGCAACAACACAUGGGAACAGAUCUGGGCUGUACCUAUAGGUAAUUAAUCUCUGCAUAGAUGGCGCAGAGUAGUAACUGCCUUGAUUUCUUUGCUGUCCCAGCCCCCUGUCCAAUAGCACAUCUCCCUUUUAGAAAUUAUCGUGGUCAGAAAUGAACAAUCGCUAUGUCUAUCUAGGCUUAAAGAACGCAUAGGUAGACAGACAAUAUAUGAAUUGACACCUUUCUUUUGGUCAUCUACCCCUGGUCAUCCUUAUCAUUCUUUCCUUCAACAGAAGAUGAAAGAGCUUCAGCCUUAUCAUCAGACUUCUCCUGGUGCACCUAGAAAACCAAGUAGUUUGGUAACGGAGCAAGAUGAGAUAUUAAUAUCCAAAGGUAAAUAAAUUGGCACGGGCAGGUUUCAGCUCACUCAAUCAGUUACACAGCUUCGAAUAGAAUUUCUUUAUGGCCAUCUAUAUAUUUUUAUCUCCGUAAAACAUGCGACACUAAGUUUUCUUCCUCAUGUGAGAUAAGCAUUUGAUUGUACAAUUGUGCAAUUGAGCAAGGCAUGAGAGAAAGCUAUAUCAACACAGCAGCUGUAAGUUUUCUUCCUCAUGUGAGAUAAGCAUUUGACUGUACAAUUGCGCAAUCAAGCAAGGCAUGAGAGAAAGCUAUAUCAACACAUCAGUUAUCUUUUGGUGUACAAUCGAGUUGCUUUCAUAUCUUUCCC